Molecule: ribosomal RNA, 395 nt
Filed under: uncultured bacterium
Lineage: Bacteria
Description: bacterial SSU rRNA
Rfam family: Bacterial small subunit ribosomal RNA
Source: RNAcentral
GUGUCAGCAGCCGCGGUAAUACGUAGGGUGCAAGCGUUGUUCGGAAUCACUGGGCGUAAAGGGAGUGUAGGCGGGAUCGUAAGUUAGGAGUUUAAUCUACGGGCUCAACUCGUAGUCUGCUUUUAAUACUGCGGUUCUUGAGUAUGGGAGAGGGCGAUGGAAUUCCAGGUGUAGCGGUGGAAUGCGUAGAUAUCUGGAAGAACACCAGUAGCGAAGGCGGUCGCCUGGCCCAAUACUGACGCUGAUACUCGAAAGCUAGGGGAGCAAACAGGAUUAGAUACCCUGGUAGUCCUAGCCGUAAACGAUGAACACUAGUUGCUGGAGGAGUCAAUCUUUUCGGUGACGAAGCUAACGCAUUAAGUGUUCCGCCUGGGAAGUACGCUCGCAAGAGUGAA